This 2035-nucleotide small RNA is filed under the name Histoplasma capsulatum. RNAcentral describes it as "hypothetical RNA". Lineage: Eukaryota; Fungi; Ascomycota; Eurotiomycetes; Onygenales; Ajellomycetaceae. The record is from RNAcentral. RNAcentral also lists the same sequence under 1 other name.
AUACCUUCACUUCACAUCCCAUUCACUUAUAUCUCAGGAAUGAUACAAUGUCGACUCCAAACUCUCAUGGUGCCGUUGUUUGACGAAGGUUUCAAUUCCGUCGUACAUACUCACAUGCAGAAUUGGAUGCAACAUUUUGUCCAAUCCGUGCUCCAAAGCGUAUGGAAUAAGCUUAAAUUCUAUUCACUUUGCAGGACAAUGGCAUGGGGUUAUACAGUUGCCCUCCCCAACUUCCGCCAAACAGCUAUCGAGAAAUUAAAUUCAAACAGGUAUUCUUAAAAUGAUAAUGUUGAUUACAAUCUAAUUUCAUCUACUAUCUAAGCCAGGGUGGUAUAAAUAAUCUAGGUAACGCCGUUACACCGCCGGUAAUUCCAGCUACGCCUACUAAAGGGUGUAGAUAAUAAGAAAACCUAUAAUCCAAGUAAAGAAUAGUCAAUGACAAAAUCUAGGAACCCAACUCCUUACUGAUGAAUGGUCCCCAUGAAUCUUCCUCAGAAAGCCGAAUGGAAAUGAAAUGAAAGGUAAGGGAAACGGAAAAGGGAACGGAAGAACGAAGCUAAAUAAAUUCGCAUGACGCCUGGAUAAGGUGGGCAGAACGAAACGAAAAUGAGACAAUGAGCAACAUGUAGGAAUAUGGCUCACGGAUGGAGAAGAAAGUCUGUUUGUUCAUUGUGAGUUAGUACAGAGGGGGGUUUUGCUAUCGCCUCAUCCUUUGAGGGCAUAGUUCCUGUCGAUUGCAUGCUGUCUUCCUGUGCUUUCAGGUCACUGUCCUUGCUGUUCUCAGCACCAAGUGACUCUGCAAUCAUUGAUACUGAUGUGUUAUGUUCUAUUGGAGGCAAAUUACUUUCCACGAAGUUAGUGUUCUCCUUUUCUUUGUCGUCAGGAGAAAAAUCAGUAACUGGUGUUGUGGGUUCUGAGCCAAGAGGGGCUUCGAUGAUCAAAAGCUCGUCCGACAUUUGUUCUUGGCUUUUCUUUGCAGAUGAGCCAGGACGACUUGGAAGUGGAGGUUUAGGUACAGGACGAGAAGCCUUCUGCGGUCGCUCGGGUAAUAGCGGCGGGGGUAAUGGUUUACGUUUCGGUAUGGAAGGAUUAGACAAGAAGCCAAACUUGUCUGGAAGCGGAAGAGGUGUGCCUGGUGGAGGUAGUGGGUGUCCCCGCCCAAUAGGAUGAUCUGGCAUUAGUGUUUUGUUGUCUCCUUUUAAAGACGGCUCUCCAUUCCGUUUAAGAACAUUCAAACCCCAUUUUCGCGCAGCAGCGGCUGCCGACCCUAUUGAUCCUAUAACUUGUCGUUCAGGGGUUUUAUUAUUUGGAACGUCAACUAUAGGCUGAGAUCCAGAGGUUUUGUUUUGUUUGUUCGUCUCACUUUUUAAAGAAAAGCUUGAGCUUCGUGGACUACUGGAUAUAGACAGCGUAGCUGGUGAAAAACUAUCGCGCGUCGAAGGUGUACGGGGUGUAAUAUCGAUUGGUCUGGUCUCGUCGGAUAUAGUGCUGGAUCUGGGUGACACCUGUUUUCUGUGCAUUGAGGAUGCUUCUUUUGGAGGUGAGCCAACUGGCGUUCCUGUGGGAGAGUUUGGCUGGGAGCGGUUAGAUAUCUCAAUCAUGGUGGCUGUUGCAUCUUUUUCCUCCAAUUUUGAAUCCCAAACGGAAUGGUCUACUUUCACGGUAUCUGCUGUGACGACAGGAUCGGCAACAUGUGAGAAUGUUCGGGAUCUAAUAGCUCGAGGGGGUUCCAGUCGAUUUCCUCUGUCCAUGCCAGAGGAAACCGACGAACCCAAUUCCCCUAGCUGCGAGGGUAUGGAUUUCGAACCUCUUCGACUCGCUAUGGCUGACGAAGCUGGCCCAGGCGUUGAAGGCGGAGCCAUGGUGGCAUCAGUAUUAUUGGGCACAGCAACAAGCGGAGACACCGGGUCAAGGGGUUCUUGUUGUGCUUCAGGUUCGUCAGGGAUCACAGUUUUCGGCGGGCGUUUUGGAGGGUGAUGCCAAAUACCACCACGGAAGGUUUCGUGUUCGGUAUCUAGGAAUGGUAUAUCGUCCC